UACUCGAGUGGCGAACGGGUGAGUAACACGUGGGUGAUCUGCCCUGCACUUCGGGAUAAGCUUGGGAAACUGGGUCUAAUACCGGAUAGGAGCCAUCUUUAGUGUGGUGGUUGGAAAGUUUUUUCGGUGUAGGAUGAGCUCGCGGCCUAUCAGCUUGUUGGUGGGGUAAUGGCCUACCAAGGCGGCGACGGGUAGCCGGCCUGAGAGGGUGGACGGCCACAUUGGGACUGAGAUACGGUCCAA
Molecule: ribosomal RNA, 243 nt
Filed under: uncultured Actinomycetales bacterium
Lineage: Bacteria; Bacillati; Actinomycetota; Actinomycetes; Actinomycetales
Description: partial 16S ribosomal RNA
Rfam family: Bacterial small subunit ribosomal RNA
Source: RNAcentral